This is an RNA transcript of Arachis stenosperma, 1325 nucleotides long. It is a transcript of the gene named 28 kDa ribonucleoprotein, chloroplastic, with no coding region annotated. The record is from RefSeq and is a predicted model, not a curated record. The transcript is spliced from 5 exons. NCBI's taxonomy places the organism in Eukaryota, Viridiplantae, Streptophyta, Magnoliopsida, Fabales, Fabaceae.
UCCUCCCAAAACCUCUUAUCUCUUUCUUUCUGCUCUCUUCUCUCUUCUCUUCUGUUCCAUUCUCAUCUCAGUUCCAAAGUCAAUGGCAGCAACAUUAGAGUCAGCACUCUCCAUAUUCGCAUCUCACUCUCACCGUUUCUCCAACAACAACACUCAUCUCUCUCCAAACCUCUCUUCUCUCUCCUUCUCUUUCAAUGCCUCCACACCAAGAUCAUUCUCCUUCCUCUGCUCCACAUUGCAAGAAGCACAACCACACACACCUACAACUCAGGAACAACCCAAAAACGUGAAGAAGAAGCUCUAUGUCUUCAACUUACCUUGGUCUAUGUCCGUUGCUGACAUCAAAGACCUGUUUAGCCAAUGCGGAACUGUAACAGACGUCGAGAUCAUAAAGAACAAACAAGGCAAGAGCAGGGGUUUUGCCUUCGUUACUAUGGCUUCAGGGGAAGAGGCUCUUGCUGUCGUUCACAAGUUCAAUUCUCAUCAAAUAUCAGGAAGGGAAAUAAGGAUAGAGCUUGCCAAGAGAUUCAAGAAGCCGCCGCCUCCUCCUCCACCGUCUCCGAGUCCCCCUGCCGGCGAGACACGUCACGUGGUAUAUGUAGCCAACCUUGCAUGGAAAGUAAGAUCACCCGUUCUCAGACAAUUCUUCACUGAUAAUUUCAAAACCCCAGUUUCGUCCAGGGUUGUCUUUGAGAGCCCUGCCGGAAGAUCUGCAGGGUAUGGAUUUGUUUCUUUCCUCACAAAAGAGGAUGCAGAGGCUGCAAUUUCUGCUUUGGAUGGGAAGUACUGAGACAGAGACUGAGAAACUGAGAUACAGUAUCAUGUUUAUUGACUCAGAGAUUGGAAUUAAUGGAGCGACCACUUCGUCUUAAGUUGAGUGAAAAGAAAGUCAAAGCAGCUCCAACUGAAAGGGAUGAAGACCAAGCUCCUGAAUUGGUGGAUCAAGAGAAGCUCAAAGAAGCUGAAACUGAAAAGGAGGAAAUCCAUGAUUCUGAUGCUCAGCUGGAAAAAUCAUAAAUCCUAACCCUUUUUCUUAUAAUUGAUUCUUGGAGCUGGAUUACCUCAUUUAUACACAACUUUGAUGGAUAACUCCUUUUUCACUCAUGUUCACUUUUUCUAAUACCCUUAAAAAUGUGGUUGAAAAGCUUUUAAGAAAUCAAUUUUCGACAUAAAUCUUCAUAUAUAGUUUCUUUAUUUCUAAGCAAGUUUUCCACUCACAUUUUUAAGGGUGUAACUCAAUAAUCUUGCGAAUUAAUGAAGUUGCAAACAAUGUACAUUUGAGUUUGAAACUAAUAAGUUCAACCAUAAAUCAUUAUACGAUAAGA